Molecule: ribosomal RNA, 253 nt
Filed under: uncultured bacterium
Lineage: Bacteria
Description: partial 16S ribosomal RNA
Rfam family: Bacterial small subunit ribosomal RNA
Source: RNAcentral
UACGGGGGGGGCAAGCGUUGUUCGGAAUUACUGGGCGUAAAGCGUGCGCAGGCGGUUCGUUGUGUCGGUGGUGAAAUCCCCGGGCUUAACCUGGGAAUGGCCAUGGAAACUGGCGAACUGGAGUGCGGCAGAGGGGGGUGGAAUUCCGCGUGUAGCAGUGAAAUGCGUAGAGAUCGGGAGGAACACCAGAGGCGAAGGCGGCGACCUGGACAAGUACUGACACUCAACUGCGAAAGCGUGGGGAGCAAACAGG